UACGUAGGGUGCGAGCGUUAAUCGGAAUUAUUGGGCGUAAAGAGCGCGCAGGCGGUGUAUCAAGUCAGAUGUGAAAGAGGCCGGCUUAACCGGCAAGGGUCAUUUGAAACUGAUAGACUAGAGUGCAGCAGAGGAUAGUGGAAUUCCCGGUGUAGUGGUGAAAUGCGUAGAUAUCGGGAGGAACACCAGUGGCGAAGGCGACUAUCUGGGCUGCAACUGACGCUGAGGCGCGAAGGCUAGGGUAGCAAACAGG
RNAcentral lists this ribosomal RNA (253 nucleotides) under uncultured bacterium. RNAcentral's name for it is "partial 16S ribosomal RNA". It matches the Rfam family "Bacterial small subunit ribosomal RNA", at positions 524 to 776 of the family's 1533-position model. The record is from RNAcentral.